This 213-nucleotide long non-coding RNA is filed under the name Mytilus galloprovincialis (Mediterranean mussel). Lineage: Eukaryota; Metazoa; Mollusca; Bivalvia; Mytilida; Mytilidae. The record is from RNAcentral.
UGUAACUUUAAUAAUUGUUAUGUAGUUGGACACAUAUUCAGCAAAUUCAUAUACAAAUAUAUAUACAAAUCGUCUAAACAUCAACCCAACAAUGUUAGAUCUGUAAAUUUGCUUUCACAAUUUUUGUUCUUCCCUGGCCGGGAUUCGAACUCAUGCUACUGAGAUAUCGUGACAUCAAAUCGCCUGCACUGUAGCCGUCCCGCUAGACCACAC